AAGAACACUGUCAUUAAGGGCUGAGAGGUGAAGAUAUGUUAGAUAAGAAAAUAGCAGACAGGGACCUUGAAGCACUUUAAGAAGCCUUGUUCUGCAGAUAUCCUUGUCCUGGUUCCAAUCAUCAGAAAACCUGCUCUUUCUUACCACAGGUGGGAAGUUGCUGUGGAGCUCAUGCUGUUUGGUAACUCAGGCUGUCCUCAGUAAUCUGAUGGGAGAAGAAUCUCAGGUGUCCCAAGAGCCAUUGGGAAGAGGUGUGCAUCAGGAGCAUACAGAUUAGACCACGUGGCUGGUGCAUGAACCUUGAAAUGAUGAGUGAAUGAAAACAGGAGGUACCAGUAAGGAGGACAGGAUUCAGCGGAGACGUCCAGACGGCUCUGUGUGGUGUUUGGAGAGUUGCCCUCAGUUGAAGCGCUUCUGCAGGUAAUCCCCAG
This is a non-coding RNA of Ictidomys tridecemlineatus (thirteen-lined ground squirrel), 431 nucleotides long. The record is from RefSeq and is a predicted model, not a curated record. Lineage: Eukaryota; Metazoa; Chordata; Mammalia; Rodentia; Sciuridae.